This 468-nucleotide ribosomal RNA is filed under the name uncultured bacterium. RNAcentral's name for it is "partial 16S ribosomal RNA". It matches the Rfam family "Bacterial small subunit ribosomal RNA", at positions 28 to 507 of the family's 1533-position model. The record is from RNAcentral.
GACGAACGCUGGCGGCGUGCUUAACACAUGCAAGUCGAACGGAAAGGCCCUGCUUUUGUGGGGUGCUCGAGUGGCGAACGGGUGAGGAACACGUGAGUAACCUGCCCUUGACUUUGGUAUAACUUCAGGAAACUGGGGCUAAUACCGGAUAGGAGCUCCUGCUGCAUGGUGGGGGUUGGAAAGGUUCGGCGGUUGGGGAUGGACUCGCGGCUUAUCAGCUUGUUGGUGGGGUAGUGGCUUACCAAGGCUUUGACGGGUAGCCGGCCUGAGCGGGUGACCGGCCACAUUGGGACUGAGAUACGGCCCAGACUCCUACGGGAGGCAGCAGUGGGGAAUAUUGCACAAUGGGCGGAAGCCUGAUGCAGCAACGCCGCGUGCGGGAUGACGGCCUUCGGGUUGUAAACCGCUUUCGCCUGUGACGAAGCGUGAGUGACGGUAAUGGGUAAAGAAGCACCGGCUAACUACGUG